UACAGAGGUCCCAAGCGUUGUUCGGAUUCACUGGGCGUAAAGGGUGCGUAGGCGGUCGGGUAAGUCUGGCGUGAAAUCUCCAAGCCUAACUUGGAAACUGCGUUGGAUACUAUCCGGCUCGAGGAAUGGAGGGGAGACUGGAAUACUUGGUGUAGCGGUGAAAUGCGUAGAUAUCAAGUGGAACACCAGUGGCGAAGGCGAGUCUCUGGACAUUUCCUGACGCUGAGGCACGAAAGCCAGGGGAGCAAACGGG
RNAcentral lists this ribosomal RNA (253 nucleotides) under uncultured bacterium. RNAcentral describes it as "partial 16S ribosomal RNA". It matches the Rfam family "Bacterial small subunit ribosomal RNA", at positions 524 to 776 of the family's 1533-position model. The record is from RNAcentral.